This 274-nucleotide ribosomal RNA is filed under the name uncultured bacterium. Its description in RNAcentral is "partial 16S ribosomal RNA". It matches the Rfam family "Bacterial small subunit ribosomal RNA", at positions 84 to 354 of the family's 1533-position model. The record is from RNAcentral.
CCCGCCGGCGACCGGCGCACGGGGGAGUAACACGUAUGAAACCUGCCCGUAGCAGGGGGAUAAGCGGAAGAAAUUCCGUCUAAUACCGCGUAACAACCCAUGGAGGCAUCUCUGUGGGUUUAAAGGAAGCGAUUCCGGCUACGGAUGGUCAUGCGUCGCAUUAGCUUGUUGGCGGGGUAACGGCCCACCGAGGCGACGAUGCGUAGGGGUUCUGAGAGGAAGGUCCCCCACACUGGUACUGAGACACGGACCAGACUCCUACGGAAGGCAGCAG